Long non-coding RNA from Quercus robur (English oak), 732 nucleotides. RefSeq lists it as uncharacterized. Lineage: Eukaryota; Viridiplantae; Streptophyta; Magnoliopsida; Fagales; Fagaceae. The record is from RefSeq and is a predicted model, not a curated record. The transcript has 2 exons.
UACAGCUACCCAUCCUUCUAAUGGAGCUUUCUGGGCUAUCACACACCUCAAUCUCCCUUCUCUCAUUUUCCCUUUCUCUUUCUCUUGUUUCUCUCUCUCUCAAAAAUCUUUGUUCAGAUUUUUUUAUUUAUGCUCCGUUGAAGAUUUAAAGAUUGAAGGGGUUUUCAAAAUUCACAAAUCUCUCAAUUCCUCAAGUUGAACAUCAUUUUAAAACUAGAGAAAUAAACACAACAAGAAGAGUGAAAAUCAUUCGAUUUUCACCAUCUGAAAAGCAAAAAAAGAAAAGAAAAAACACAUGCACAUCUGAAAAUUUUCAACGAUGAUAGAUACCGACAGAGAGGGGGAUACGAAAUCUGAAAAAUUUUGUGGGUAAGCUUUUAAUGAAAAGCAUCUGAGAUUUGAAACCUCAAUGACGGAAAAAGCUCACUGAUUUCGAACUUGAUUUGAAAAUCGAAAAUUGAAAACAAUUGAUUUUCUUGCAAGCACACGAUAGGGUCAUCAAUGUUUGGCGUUGUGAUGCUGCAUAGUUGCAGAGUGGUGUGGUGAUGCUGCACAAUUGCAUAGUGAGAGAAGAGCCAGAGAGAAAAGGAAGAGGCAGGUAAGUCACUGUUGUAUUUUUCCAAGUUGGCUUCUUUUUUUUUAAUCGUUGGAUCAGUUUGCUUCCAAGUGUCAUUCAUCUAUCUAAAAACGGGAGGAAACAGGGGAAAUAAAAACCGGAGGUGAGCCGCUCCC